RNAcentral lists this ribosomal RNA (464 nucleotides) under uncultured bacterium. RNAcentral's name for it is "partial 16S ribosomal RNA". It matches the Rfam family "Bacterial small subunit ribosomal RNA", at positions 339 to 795 of the family's 1533-position model. The record is from RNAcentral.
CUACGGGAGGCUGCAGUGAGGAAUUUUGCGCAAUGGGGGAAACCCUGACGCAGCAACGCCGCGUGAGUGAAGAAGGCUUUCGGGUCGUAAAGCUCUGUCAGAUAGGAAAAAAGUUCAUAUGUAAAUAGCUUAUGAAUCUGAUGGUACUAUCAGAGGAAGCACCGGCUAACUCCGUGCCAGCAGCCGCGGUAAUACGGAGGGUGCAAGCGUUGUUCGGAAUUACUGGGCGUAAAGGGCGUGUAGGCGGUAUGGUAAGUCAGAUGUGAAAGCCCUGGGCUUAACUCAGGAAGUGCAUUUGAUACUGCCAUCCUUGAGUAUGGGAGAGGGGAGUAGAAUUCCCAGUGUAGAGGUGAAAUGCGUAGAUAUUGGGAGGAAUACCCGUGGCGAAGGCGACUCUCUGGACCAAUACUGACGCUGAGACGCGAAAGCGUGGGGAGCAAACAGGAUUAGAUACCCGCGUAGUC